CAAAAGCAGCUACACAAGACAACCACAACAAAAUACCACCCUACAAUUUGGCCCACCUAAUUAGAUCUAGCCGUCAAUACAAGAAUUAACCGCCCCUGUGUACCUUUAGCAAUUUGCAGAAGCGGACGAAAACUCUGCCAUCGUCCCCGUCCCCACGUUUAGCUGCGAAAAUUGUUAUAUGGCCAAUGAAAAAUCAGCACAAUAGAUCCCAUGCCACGACCUCGCAGUCGCCGACGUGCUGCGCUACCACGUCCUCCUGGAGUACAUCUCCCCGUCCGACCACGCCCGCAUCCCGGCGUGAGGGAUGCUCCCGCCGCGGGCAGAGGCGGCAGCUCCGCUGUCGUGGUCCGCUCGCCGCUCCUUGCCCCCCUCCUCCCCGCCCCCGCGCGCCCCGAUCUGGCGACGAGAAGAUGUGAAGGCGGAAGAGAGAUCAAGGCCAACCUCCAACCCCUUAGAGUAAGAUCUGCCGCCGCGACCUGAUGUUUGGCGCUUCCCACUCCGUCACCCCGGGAGUCGUCGCGUGAACAAUCUCCGAGCACCUAGCCACUUGAGGCUGAAACAACGUGGAUGGAGACCGGCGAGAGGUAGAGGAGGAGGUCGGAGGGUGGGUCAACCUGUUGUAUUGACCGGACGCGCCCGUCGGUGCGGCGGAGCUCUUCCGUUGAUUCAGCGAAGGGAGGUGGGCAAGCGGCACAUUGAAUCCCGUCCUGACAUCCAUCAGCACUGGCCAAUACGACCGGCCAGCCGCAUCAUCGGUCCUGUAGUGAUUUGUCAAUGGCGUACUACCGAAGUGCUUCUAGCGAUAGCAACAUGCACGUACAAGUGCUUUGAAGCAGGCAUAUCGAUGGAUUUUUGGGAGGAAGAAGCUAGCAAGAUAAACUUUCGGCCUUAGCUCACAUGUAUAUUCUGAGAAUUUUCUUCUCCGUUGAACAAUUUAUGUCCUUCUGCAGAUGGCUAAUCAUCGGAACUAUGAGAAAGUAGGCCAUUGUUUACAAACUCAAGGAUUCAGUGAUGUUGAAGCUAAAAGCUGGACUUCACUGCCCUCUGCUCCUCAAUUCAGCCGCCGUUGCCCGCUGCUCCUCAAUUCAGCCGCUGCUGCCGCCACGUUGAGGCCCUCGCCACUAAGCCGGUGAACUUGGAUCAGGUGUGAACUUUGAUCAUGUUUUUCUUUACCUUAACAUCAAGCCGUCGGCUGGGUUUAGGAAGGUAGCUCACGGGACAAACAUUGGUGGCUCACACUCAAUUAUUAAGAGCACCAUAAUUGGAAAAUAUGCACUUGCUAAAACAAAAUUAAUAAUGACAAAAACUAUGAACAUCAGUCAAAGUUCAUGGUCAGAUUCCUCAUCACAGAUUUGGGUCAAAAGUCAAAAAUGCAAGGGAGUAACAACAAAAAAACACGACUUCAAUUGUGCUCCUGUUGGUUAAUAUACCGAGUAAAAAUAAAUAGAACAACCUAUAAUAUAGAGCUUAUGUGCUUUGCACGAAACUGAAUGCAUGGCACUGAACAUAUCUCUAAUCUAUUAUAUGUUAUAUAAGAAAGCACAUAAUUGGGAGGACUGAAAUCCAGCUUGGUUAAACGAAAUAAAUUGGCAACAUAAUUUGGGAGGUGCCUAUCUUUUGUAGCAACGAAGUAAGAUAGUCGACAAGUUCUGGAUCAACAAGACCCUGAGCAUGUCUUGACCCCUAAAUGGAUUACUGCAAGCCUUACUCAAAUGAUAAUAAUAAAAGGUAGACUCGGCUCCUCCACUCAUGCUUCUCUGAAUACAAUGUAAAUUUCAGAACAUGGCUCUCUGAAUUUCUACAACCUAAAUUUAGUACAUGCUUCUUUGAAUGUUGGCCAGCCAAUCGGUACUGUAUUGCAGACUUCAGAGAAUUGUAUGCAUGCCCUUUAUGCCAAUGGAUUACUGCAUUUUUAUGUUAGGUUUUACACUAUUUGAAUGUAAGGACUAUAUAGUAUCUCUUUGGCAAUCUAUGGCAAGUCAUUUUCUGCACAUAAAAUUCAGUGCAUGCUUCUCUGAAUAUCUGCAAUACAAGUGAGCAAAAUUCGUUCUUACAUGUUGUCCUGCCAAUUGGUAUUGGCAGCCUUGCAUACAUGUUUUUAAAAUGCUUAAUCCAAGUGCCACUUCUGUACUAAAUAAGCUGAACUUUAUUUUAUAAAUAACUAAAUGUUGGUUUGCUGACGUCUUCUUGUGAUUGAAUUCUGGAACUUACAUUGUCCGUUUGCAACAUUACAUACGGCCAUGCUUUGCAAGACGUUCUAUAUAUAGGCUCUUUUGUACGUGAUAAAAAAAUUUGGACACAUAUUUGUUACUCCCUCCGUCCCAUAUUUGUCAAAAACGCUCUUAUAUUAUGGGACGGAGGGAGUAGAACUAUGAGUUCACCAUAUACUAUGAAAAUUCAUCAACUUGGGAUUAUGAAUCAUGUUUGUUUUUUGGAGAACCAUGUACUGAUUUAGAUAAAACCUCAUUAGCGAGAAAUAUUUGACUCGUAGGGAGCUACUGUAGUUUUUCCUGCUUUUCCAAUUAUUCUGUUGUUACUUCGUUCAUAGCUAUGGAAUGGAUCCUUCUACCAUUGCCAGUUCAGCUAUACCAGGUACACUCUGAUGCUUGUUCAUGGAAUUUUGGUAACAAUAUGAACUGUGAUAUGUUCUGAAACAUAAACUGAGAGGCAAACUUAUAUUAUGUUUAACAGGUUUGGCUGUUGUUCCUCUAUACAACUUUAUCUUUUAGUAUCGACCAAUACCUCAUAUCCCAUUUGAAGGGAAUAUUGUGAUGCUCUAGGACUUUAUGUUAUUUUACCAUACAAUCCGAUAAAAAUGAUGCUCUUCUUCAAUGCCUGUCUAUCCACCUCCGACGUGUUGUUUGUUGGCUGUUCUUGUUAUGCUUUUUUCUGUUCGUUUCAAAGUUAUUAACUCAUUAGGCAUAUAAGUACCAAUAAUGCAAGUUUUUUUGGGUCAUUUGGAACUUAGCAAAAGUUCAUUUUAUUCUAAAGGUGAGUAUGGAAUCAUCCGACAUCCUGGUGGCUCUUGUAAGUCUCAAAUGGGAGAUUAAGGGACAAGUUGAUUGUUCACACAAGGUAGGUGUACUUUUAGGCCUCUGGUUUGUUCUAAACAUGUAAGUUCGGGCUUAGCCUAUACUCUUUUCACAGAGAGUUGCCGAGUUGUUUCUGUGCCAGGCUGUGAUGCAAGGUUUUGCCAUGUUGCUGAAAAGAUAUCAAUGUCGAAGACUAUAUACAACUUUGUAGUCGUCUGCUCAAAUUUUAGUCAAAAUAGAUAUUUGUAAGUUGAAAAUUUAUUUUUGGCAGGCUAAAAUAAUGGAGGUUGUGUGGGAAGAGAUUGUUGUUGUUUAAGGCUAACUAUUGUUGUUC
Long non-coding RNA from Triticum aestivum (bread wheat), 3366 nucleotides. RefSeq lists it as uncharacterized. Lineage: Eukaryota; Viridiplantae; Streptophyta; Magnoliopsida; Poales; Poaceae. The transcript has 2 exons. The record is from RefSeq and is a predicted model, not a curated record.